RNAcentral lists this ribosomal RNA (382 nucleotides) under uncultured organism. Its description in RNAcentral is "bacterial SSU rRNA". It matches the Rfam family "Bacterial small subunit ribosomal RNA", at positions 367 to 762 of the family's 1533-position model. The record is from RNAcentral.
CGCAAUGGGCGAAAGUCUGACGGAGCGACGCCGCGUGAUUGAUGAAGCUCUUCGGAGUGUAAAGAUCUUUUAUGAGGGAAGAAGUUUAUUGACGGUACCUCAUGAAUAAGGGGCUCCUAAUCUCGUGCCAGCAGGAGCGGUAAUACGAGAGCCCCGAGCGUUAUCCGGAAUUAUUGGGCGUAAAGGGUGCGUAGGUGGUUUUGUUAGUCGUUUGUUAAAUCUUCGGGCUUAACCUGAAAUCCGCAAACGAAACGGCAUAACUAGAGAGUGUGAGAGGUAUAGGGAACUCAUGGUGUAGGGGUGAAAUCCGUUGAUAUCAUGGGGAACACCAAAAGCGAAGGCACUCUACUGGCGCGCUCCUGACGCUGAAACACGAAAGCGU